This 294-nucleotide ribosomal RNA is filed under the name uncultured bacterium. RNAcentral's name for it is "partial 16S ribosomal RNA". It matches the Rfam family "Bacterial small subunit ribosomal RNA", at positions 337 to 648 of the family's 1533-position model. The record is from RNAcentral.
GCCUACGGGACGCAGCAGUGGGGAAUAUUGCACAAUGGGGGAAACCCUGAUGCAGCGACGCCGCGUGAGUGAAGAAGUAUUUCGGUAUGUAAAGCUCUAUCAGCAGGGAAGAAAAUGACGGUACCUGACUAAGAAGCCCCGGCUAACUACGUGCCAGCAGCCGCGGUAAUACGUAGGGGGCAAGCGUUAUCCGGAUUUACUGGGUGUAAAGGGAGCGUAGACGGCAGCGCAAGUCUGAAGUGAAAUCACAUGGCUUAACGAUGGAACUGCUUUGGAAACUGUGCAGCUGGAGUG